GGCGCGUAGGCGGCCAACUAAGUCAGACGUGAAAUCCCUCGGCUCAACCGGGGAACUGCGUCUGAUACUGGAUGGCUUGAAUUCAGGAGAGGGAUGCGGAAUUCCAGGUGUAGCGGUGAAAUGCGUAGAUAUCUGGAGGAACACCGGUGGCGAAGGCGGCAUCCUGGACCGAGAUUGACGCUGAUGCGCGAAAGCCAGGGGAGCAAACGGGAUUAGAUACCCCGGUAGUCCUGGCCCUAAACGAUGAAUGCUUGGUGUGGCGGGUAUCGAUCCCUGCCGUGCCGAAGCUAACGCAUUAAGCAUUCCGCCUGGGGAGUACGGUCGCAAGGCUGAGACUCAAAGGAAUUGACGGGGGCCCGCACAAGCGGUGGAGCAUGUGGUUUAAUUCGACGCAACGCGAAGAACCUUACCCAGGCUCGAAAUGCAGAUGAACGUCGGUGAAAGCCGGUUUCCGCAAGGACAUCUGUAUAGGUGCUGCAUGGCUGUCGUCAGCUCGUGUCGUGAGAUGUUGGGUUAAGUCCCGCGACGAGCGCAACCCUUGUCCUCUGUUGCCAUCAGGUUAAGCUGGGCACUCUGAGGAGACUGCCGGUGAUAAACCGGAGGAAGGUGCGGAUGACGUCAAGUCAGCAUGGCCUU
This 636-nucleotide ribosomal RNA is filed under the name uncultured Acidobacteriota bacterium. Its description in RNAcentral is "bacterial SSU rRNA". It matches the Rfam family "Bacterial small subunit ribosomal RNA", at positions 566 to 1202 of the family's 1533-position model. The record is from RNAcentral. Lineage: Bacteria; Pseudomonadati; Acidobacteriota.